RNAcentral lists this long non-coding RNA (594 nucleotides) under Sinocyclocheilus grahami. RNAcentral describes it as "lncRNA (ENSSGRG00000054331.1)". Lineage: Eukaryota; Metazoa; Chordata; Actinopteri; Cypriniformes; Cyprinidae. The record is from RNAcentral.
GAAACUGCAUUCACAACGGGAUUCAGCUGGACUACACAAACAGACCUGAUUACUGCCAGCCCUGUUCAAUUAAAUCAACACUUAAAUACAAUUUUAUCUACAGCAUAAAUUUGAUUAACGUUGAUUGAAGAUUUUACGCAGUAACACACAUUUAGCAGGCAUCCAAGGAGAGCUGUCUGUUUCUUUGCAUGUUUUAACCAUGAACCGCGUAUCAUUUCAUUUUCUUUUCUUUUUCAUUUUUAAAGAUGAAGAUGUUAACCAGGCCCUCAAAAACAAUCAUGUUGCCGAGAACUAUAAAAAACAGGACAUAAAUGAAGAUGGAGCUGAGUCUGAGAAAAAUGAAGAAGAAUGGAUGGAUGAUAAUGAAUCUGGCCAAGACCUUUACAGUUAUGAAGAGAAUAAUCAGGAAAUUAGUAAAGCCCAAGACCUCACUGGACCCGCACAAGACGGGAAUAUCAACGAUUAACAAGUUAAAUGACAAGCACUGAGCAGCAGGGACUCAGAAAUAACUAACACUUUACAAUAAGGUUAAUUUGUUAACAUUAAUGCAUUAAGUAACAUGAUCCAGCAAUGAAGAAUAUAUUUUUGCAGCAU